This 336-nucleotide ribosomal RNA is filed under the name uncultured bacterium. RNAcentral's name for it is "bacterial SSU rRNA". It matches the Rfam family "Bacterial small subunit ribosomal RNA", at positions 29 to 370 of the family's 1533-position model. The record is from RNAcentral.
AGUGAACGCUGGCGGCAUGCCUAACACAUGCAAGUCGAACGGUAACAGCCCGCAAGGGUGCUGACGAGUGGCGGACGGGUGAGGAAUACAUCGGAAUUUGCCCAGUCGUGGGGAUAACGUAGGGAAACUUACGCUAAUACCGCAUACGACCUAACGGUGAAAGCGGGGAUCGCAAGACCUCGCGCGGAUGGAUAAGCCGAUGUCGGAUUAGCUAGUUGGCGGGGUAAGGCCCACCAAGGCGACGAUCCGUAGCUGGUCUGAGAGGAUGAUCAGCCACACUGGGACUGAGACACGGCCCAGACUCCUACGGGAGGCAGCAGUGGGGAAUAAUUGGAC